Molecule: long non-coding RNA, 707 nt
Organism: Helicoverpa armigera (cotton bollworm)
Lineage: Eukaryota; Metazoa; Arthropoda; Insecta; Lepidoptera; Noctuidae
Exons: 2
Source: RefSeq, a predicted model, not a curated record
ACCCUUAAUUUGAAAAUGUAUCUUUUCAGAUACAACAACUUUUAAAAAAUCUGUAACAUAAAAUAAUUGUAUUUUUUUGAAUCGAUCGAUUUAAUUAUAAAGUUUGACUCAUUACAUCACAAGGAAAAGUAAGUCUAUUGCAUUUUCAACAACUGGACAUCCCUAUUUACGUCAACCUGAAAAAAUGACGGACACGAAGAGCAACAAAGCUGUAUUACAACGAGCAAGAUCGAAGCACAUUCUAGCGUUGAUUCCUGCAGGAAAUGCACGAUCGGACGACAGUGCCACAACAGACAAUGAGGAAGAUAACACAUCUUUGCCAGUUUAUGGAAUACAACACGAUUCUUAUAGUAGGUCCUCAACACCUUCACUGGAUUCGGAUAAAAUGUAAUGUGAGAUUAUGUCUAACUAAACAACGGAACUGUUUUUUUCGAUUUUCAUGUAAAAAAAUAAAAUUUCUUACCAAUGAACUAUUUUAUUUUAUAACCCCGAUUUGGUAAUGUAUCCUUUUGGAUACACUAUCGAAAAACUAUACAUUCCUCCGUAUUUGGCAAUGUGUAAAAUAAGAUACAUAUUAUUUCAGCGCAAUUACUGAAAAAAACAUUUUUAUAAUAUUUUUCUCUAUUUCCUUAUACCCCAAAUAAUUAGACUACAGUAUUUUUUUAAUAAAAAUUUAUAAAGGUUAUGCUUGCCAAAUUAAGGGUUAA